AAGCUCGUAGUUGAAUUUCGGGAUUAAUUUAUUGGUCGUGCAAUAGUGCGUACUGGUAUUACUGAUUCCUACCUUCUGACGAACCAUGAUGUCAUUAAUUUGGUGUCAUGGGGAAUCAGGACUGUUACUUUGAAAAAAUUAGAGUGUUUAAAGCAGGCUCACGCUUGAAUACAUUAGCAUGGAAUAACGAAAUAGGACGUUUGAUUCUAUUUUGUUGGUUUCUAGGAUCGACGUAAUGAUUAAUAGGGAUAGUUGGG
Molecule: ribosomal RNA, 257 nt
Filed under: uncultured Glomeromycotina
Lineage: Eukaryota; Fungi; Glomeromycota
Description: partial 18S ribosomal RNA
Rfam family: Eukaryotic small subunit ribosomal RNA
Source: RNAcentral